RNAcentral lists this transfer RNA (94 nucleotides) under Campylobacter gracilis. RNAcentral's name for it is "tRNA-seC(tca)". It matches the Rfam family "Selenocysteine transfer RNA". The record is from RNAcentral. Lineage: Bacteria; Pseudomonadati; Campylobacterota; Epsilonproteobacteria; Campylobacterales; Campylobacteraceae.
GGAGAGGAUGGCGACCUGGUGGCGUCUGCGGACUUCAAAUCCGAUAGGAGGGCGGUUGACCGUUUUCCGGGGGGUUCGAUUCCCUCCCUCUCUC